UAGGGAAUCUUCGGCAAUGGACGGAAGUCUGACCGAGCAACGCCGCGUGAGUGAAGAAGGUUUUCGGAUCGUAAAGCUCUGUUGUAAGAGAAGAACGAGUGUGAGAGUGGAAAGUUCACGCUGUGACGGUAUCUUACCAGAAAGGGACGGCUAACUACGUGCCAGCAGCCGCGGUAAUACGUAGGUCCCGAGCGUUGUCCGGAUUUAUUGGGCGUAAAGCGAGCGCAGGCGGUUAGAUAAGUCUGAAGUUAAAGGCUGUGGCUUAACCAUAGUAGGCUUUGGAAACUGUUUAACUUGAGUGCAAGAGGGGAGAGUGGAAUUCCAUGUGUAGCGGUGAAAUGCGUAGAUAUAUGGAGGAACACCGGUGGCGAAAGCGGCUCUCUGGCUUGUAACUGACGCUGAGGCUCGAAAGCGUGGGGAGCAAACAGGAUUAGAUACCCUGGUAGUCCACGCUGUAAACGAUGAGUGCUAGGUGUUAGACCCUUUCCGGGGUUUAGUGCCGUAGCUAACGCAUUAAGCACUCCGCCUGGGGAGUACGACCGCAAGGUUG
Molecule: ribosomal RNA, 550 nt
Filed under: uncultured bacterium
Lineage: Bacteria
Description: bacterial SSU rRNA
Rfam family: Bacterial small subunit ribosomal RNA
Source: RNAcentral